GUGAGUAACACGUGGGCAACCUGCCUGUAAGACUGGGAUAACUCCGGGAAACCGGGGCUAAUACCGGAUAACUCUUUUCCUCACAUGAGGAAAAGCUGAAAGAUGGUUUCGGCUAUCACUUACAGAUGGGCCCGCGGCGCAUUAGCUAGUUGGUGAGGUAACGGCUCACCAAGCCACGAUGCGUAGCCGACCUGAGAGGGUGAUCGGCCACACUGGGACUGAGACACGGCCCAGACUCCUACGGGAGGCAGCAGUAGGGAAUCUUCCGCAAUGGACGAAAGUCUGACGGAGCAACGCCGCGUGAGUGAUGAAGGUUUUCGGAUCGUAAAACUCUGUUGUCAGGGAAGAACAAGUACCGGAGUAACUGCCGGUACCUUGACGGUACCUGACCAGAAAGCCACGGCUAACUACGUGCCAGCAGCCGCGGUAAUACGUAGGUGGCAAGCGUUGUCCGGAAUUAUUGGGCGUAAAGCGCGCGCAGGCGGUUCCUUAAGUCUGAUGUGAAAGCCCCCGGCUCAACCGGGGAGGGUCAUUGGAAACUGGGGAACUUGAGUGCAGAAGAGAAGAGUGGAAUUCCACGUGUAGCGGUGAAAUGCGUAGAGAUGUGGAGGAACACCAGUGGCGAAGGCGACUCUUUGGUCUGUAACUGACGCUGAGGCGCGAAAGCGUGGGGAGCAAACAGGAUUAGAUACCUGGUAGUCCACGCCGUAAACGAUGAGUGCUAA
Molecule: ribosomal RNA, 725 nt
Filed under: bacterium MS-AsV-13
Lineage: Bacteria
Description: bacterial SSU rRNA
Rfam family: Bacterial small subunit ribosomal RNA
Source: RNAcentral